AUUGAUAGAGGUGCGGCAGGUCAAUAGUAGCGUUGCUUUGUGUCGGCAGACGGCGGCGUGAAAGGGGCGGCCGCCGAAACGUAGUUUUUGCUGCCGCAAGGCUCCGUUGGGCGUUUGCAAAAUAUGUAGACGACUGUCACAAAUGUGGAGCGCUAUCGUU
Molecule: non-coding RNA, 160 nt
Filed under: human gut metagenome
Description: Lysine riboswitch
Rfam family: Lysine riboswitch aptamer
About the family: Riboswitches are metabolite binding domains within certain messenger RNAs that serve as precision sensors for their corresponding targets.
Source: RNAcentral